AUGAACGCUGGCGGCAUGCCUAAGACAUGCAAGUCGAACGAGACGACCUUAAGAAAGCUGCGUGCUUGCACAAGGCUGGAAGAAGAUCAUCGUCUAGUGGCAGACGGGUGAGUAACACGUGGGUAACCUGCCUUUAAGUUGGGGAUAACAGUUGGAAACGAUUGCUAAUACCGAAUAAGGUAUUCGUACAGAAAGAAGCCUUUAAAGCUUCGCUUAAAGAUGGGCCUGCGGCGUAUUAACUAGUUGGUGAGGUAAUGGCUCACCAAGGUAACGAUGCGUAGCCGAACUGAGAGGUUGAACGGCCACACUGGGACUGAGACACGGCCCAGACUCCUACGGGAGACAGCAGUUAGGAAUAUUCGUCAAUGGGGGAAACCCUGAACGAGCGAUGCCGCGUGAGUGAUGAAGGCCCUCUGGGUUGUAAAACUCUGUUGUAUGGGAAGGACGGCUAUAUUAGGAAAUGAAUAUGGAGUGACGGUACCAUACGAGGAAGCUCCGGCUAACUACGUGCCAGCCGCUGC
RNAcentral lists this ribosomal RNA (521 nucleotides) under uncultured bacterium. Its description in RNAcentral is "bacterial SSU rRNA". It matches the Rfam family "Bacterial small subunit ribosomal RNA", at positions 29 to 518 of the family's 1533-position model. The record is from RNAcentral.